This 357-nucleotide ribosomal RNA is filed under the name uncultured bacterium. RNAcentral describes it as "bacterial SSU rRNA". It matches the Rfam family "Bacterial small subunit ribosomal RNA", at positions 152 to 507 of the family's 1533-position model. The record is from RNAcentral.
CGAAAGUAAGACUAAUACCCAAUGACGUCUCUAGAAGACAUCUGAAAAGAGAUUAAAGAUUUAUCGGUGAUGGAUGGGGGAUGCGUCUGAUUAGCUUGUUGGCGGGGUAACGCCACCAAGGCGACGAUCAGUAGGGGUUCUGAGAGGAAGGUCCCCCACAUUGGAACUGAGACACGGUCCAAACUCCUACGGGAGGCAGCAGUGAGGAAUAUUGGUCAAUGGACGAGAGCCUGAACCAGCCAAGUAGCGUGAAGGAUGACUGCCCUAUGGGUUGUAAACUUCUUUUAUAAAGGAAUAAAGUCGGGUAUGGAUACCCGUUUGCAUGUACUUUAUGAAUAAGGAUCGGCUAACUCCGUG